GUUCCUCCGUGGGCUACAAACGCUUUGAUCUUGGGAUGUCCCAGGAGGUCGUUCUGUGGUAUCCAGUCCACGAUAAGAGUGUUGUUGCCCACAGAGGAUGGCCGAUCUCCAAGAUGUCUCCAGAUGACUUUCUGAGGUCCAUCUUUGCGCACACACUCAAGCUUUAAAUGGGGCAUGAAUGAAGCCUGCCUCAAUGAGGCCAAUGAACCACUGAUGUCACAUGGACUAUUUUACCAAUGUCCUUAUACGUUUCUGGGUCUUGGAACAUUUCUGUUGCAUUGCUCGCUAUGGAGGGUCAGAAAGCUCGCGGAUUUAAUCAAAAACAUCUUAAUUUGUGUUCCGAAGAUGAACGAAGGUCUUACGGGUUUGGAACGACAUGAAGGGUGAAUAAUUAAAGACAGAAUUUUCAUUUUUGGGUGAACUAUCCCUAUUAGAUGCAUGGUUAACCCUGGCAGUGAACUGUAACAAGCUCUUGCUCUAUUUCAACUUAUUCACUUUGUGCCAUGUUUGGAUUACUUAAAUAAGUGUUUUGUGUUUUCUUCAGAAUGCACUGUUUGUUCUAACAGUUUCCUAUUUUGUAUAUGCACUUUUAAGUCUAAUGUGACAGUUAAUAUUUUUUUACAAAUGUCUUUGCUGUUCUUAAUCUACAGCCUUUAAAGUGUUUUUGUUUUGAUACUUCUGUGUAAUCGAUUAAUGGCAGCUGUGCUCAGUCCUCCAUAUUUGCAAAG
Long non-coding RNA from Onychostoma macrolepis, 728 nucleotides. RefSeq lists it as uncharacterized. The record is from RefSeq and is a predicted model, not a curated record. The transcript has 3 exons. Lineage: Eukaryota; Metazoa; Chordata; Actinopteri; Cypriniformes; Cyprinidae.